Long non-coding RNA from Seriola dumerili (greater amberjack), 661 nucleotides. RefSeq lists it as uncharacterized. NCBI's taxonomy places the organism in Eukaryota, Metazoa, Chordata, Actinopteri, Carangiformes, Carangidae. The record is from RefSeq and is a predicted model, not a curated record. The transcript is spliced from 3 exons.
UGCUGCAGAACUUAUCUCCACAUCAUGAGGGAACAUACACCUGUGAACUGAGUGAUGCUGAGGAGACACUGACAACCAACACCUUUCUGAGGAUGGAGAAUCCAGGGAAAUUAACCAUUGGCACAGGUGUGGUGGUUAUAAUUAUUUUGGCUGUCGUCGUAGCAGCAGCAGCAGUUGUUGUCUUGGUACUGCACUGUAUAAAGAAAAAAGGGCAGUGGGACACAAACAACACUUCAAUGAAUCAACGUCUCGUCAGAGAGGUGGAAACCUGACCUUCACCCCUCUGUCCCAGUCACAUAUGCUGACUCUGUUGAAAGACUGCGGGCAUGGAGACAAUCAUUCAUUCAUUCAUAUGGAAAACAAGCAGGAGAGACAAAUGACCUUCUUCACCAGAGACUGAAUGUUUUGAUGUUACUCCACAUUCAUGUGUUGUGGAGAAAGUAAAAUCUUUCUCUGUGGUGGAAAACAUCAGGAGCCAUCGUGAGAGACAUGAGAUGCUGACAUGAACUUCCUCAGGGAACUUUUAUUUCUGUCAUCAAGUGUACAGUCACAUGACUGUGGGGGCAGUUUAAAGUACAUCCUCUUUUCCACAUUGCUUAGUAACAAUUGCUACAACUGUCCACUGAUUUGUGCAAAUGUAUAAAAACACCUUUGUUGUUUA